RNAcentral lists this ribosomal RNA (404 nucleotides) under uncultured bacterium. RNAcentral's name for it is "bacterial SSU rRNA". It matches the Rfam family "Bacterial small subunit ribosomal RNA", at positions 355 to 775 of the family's 1533-position model. The record is from RNAcentral.
CGAGGAAUAUUGCACAAUGGGCGAAAGCCAGAUGCAGCAACGCCGCGUGAGGGACGAAGGCCUUCGGGUCGUAAACCUCUUUUCUGGGGGACGAGUAAGGACGGUACUCCAGGAAUAAGUCUCGGCUAACUACGUGCCAGCAGCCGCGGUAAAACGUAGGAGGCGAGCGUUAUCCGGAUUUACUGGGCGUAAAGCGUACGCAGGUGGCUUCGUUAGUCGGACAUGAAAGCUCCUGGCUUAACUGGGAGAGGUUGUUCGAUACUGCGGGGCUUGAGGUUGGGAGAGGGACGUGGAAUUCCCGGUGUAGUGGUGGAAUGCGUAGAUAUCGGGAGGAACACCAGUGGCGCAAGCGGCGUCCUGGACCACACCUGACGCUGAGGUACGAAAGCGUGGGUAGCAAACAG